AUUGAACGCUGGCGGCAUGCUUUACACAUGCAAGUCGAACGGCAGCACGGGGGCAACCCUGGUGGCGAGUGGCGAACGGGUGAGUAAUAUAUCGGAACGUACCCGGAAAUGGGGGAUAACGUAGCGAAAGUUACGCUAAUACCGCAUAUGCCCUAAGGGGGAAAGCGGGGGAUUCGCAAGAACCUCGCGUUUUCGGAGCGGCCGAUAUCGGAUUAGCUAGUAGGUGAGGUAAAGGCUCACCUAGGCGACGAUCCGUAGCUGGUCUGAGAGGACGACCAGCCACACUGGAACUGAGACACGGUCCAGACUCCUACGGGAGGCAGCAGUGGGGAAUUUUGGACAAUGGGCGCAAGCCUGAUCCAGCCAUGCCGCGUGAGUGAAGAAGGCCUCGGUGUAAGCUCUUCGUGGAGAAU
This 413-nucleotide ribosomal RNA is filed under the name uncultured bacterium. RNAcentral describes it as "bacterial SSU rRNA". It matches the Rfam family "Bacterial small subunit ribosomal RNA", at positions 30 to 445 of the family's 1533-position model. The record is from RNAcentral.